This 205-nucleotide long non-coding RNA is filed under the name Elaeis guineensis (African oil palm). RNAcentral describes it as "long non-coding RNA (EGUI_LNC043179)". The record is from RNAcentral. Lineage: Eukaryota; Viridiplantae; Streptophyta; Magnoliopsida; Arecales; Arecaceae.
GAUCCUAUUGAACUCGAUGAGAAUAACAAGAAUUUGAUCACCUAGAUGGAUGCCAUGCAAAGGUCCAACUCCGAUUAAUGACUUGGAGCCAUAGAAUCUGAAAUAAAGUCCAUAAAGAUCAACGAUGUAUAGACAUUCAUUGAUUCACUUGAAGGGUAAAGCCUAUAGAGUGUAAGUAGAUCUUCAAUAGGAUCAGAGUAGCGUA